This 1165-nucleotide long non-coding RNA is filed under the name Serinus canaria (Common canary). RNAcentral's name for it is "lncRNA (ENSSCAG00000015811.1)". Lineage: Eukaryota; Metazoa; Chordata; Aves; Passeriformes; Fringillidae. The record is from RNAcentral.
UAGGACCCCAUUUCCCCUUCUAGGACCCAAUCCCCUCCUAGUCCCGCCCGUCUCUCCCGGAUGCGCCCUCCCAUUCGUCGGAGGGGGAGGCGGGAUCCGGGAGCUACCGCCUCUGAUUGGCUGGGGCGGGAGCGCGGGAAAGCGGCGGCGGGGGCGCCUUCCCGGCGUGCACCGCGCGGGGGAACUGGGAGAGACCUGGGAGGGAACUGGAAGGUACUGGGGGAAACUGGGAGGGACUGGGGAAAACUGGGAGAGACUGGGAGCGUGGGCAGGGGGAGCUGGGAACAACUGGGAGGGACUGGGAGGUUACUGGGACUGGGGACAGGCUAUACUGGUCCAUACUGGUCCAUACUGGGAACUGUCCCCCCACAGGUCGCCGAUGGCCGAGCCCUGCCCGGGCCCUCCCAGUGCUCCCAGUGCCCCCCAGUGCUCCCAGUUGCCCCCUCCCACUCUGGAGGGGCUCAUUCCCCCCUCCCAUUUUGUGCUGCGUCCCAGGUCCCUGGGGGUGGAGCUUGAGGCAGAAAGGGGGCGUGUCCAUGAAUUGGAGGUGGAGCUGAAAGCACUGAAGGGGCGGAGCCAGCACCUGGAGGCAGAGCUUGAGGCUGAAAGGAGGCGGAGCCAGCACCUGGAGGCAGAGCUUGAGGCUGAAAGGAGGCGGAGCCAGCAGCUGGAGGCGGAGCUUGAAACAGAAAAGGGGCGGAGCCAAUCACUGGAGGCAGAACUUAAGUCAGAAAGGGGGCGGAGCCAAGGACUGGGGGUGGAGCUCGAUGCCCUGAGGGGGCGUGGCCAGCGAUUGGAGGCAGAGCUGGAUGCAGAAAAGGGGCGGAGCCAAAUCCUGGAGACGGAGCUGGAGACCCUGAGGAGGCGGGGCCUUGGCCCAGAGGAGGUGGAGCAAAGCCCAGAGCAGGUGUUGCUGGGCCGCUGGCGCCAGAAGGUUUUCCAGCUGCUGCUGCAGGUGAGGCUGCAGCAGGGCCAGGAGCUGCAGCUGCAGGGACAGGUGCGCUCCCUGGGUGCUGCAGUGGCCGCCGGGUCCCGACAGGUGUCGCUGUUGGAGCUGCGGCUGCGCCAGGGGGAGCAGGAGAGACAGGCCCUGUCCCAGGAGCGGCUCCGGGCGGAGGCGGCCGAGGAGGAACUGGGGAAACUGGGCCAGGCCCUGAGCCGGUAG